AUGACAGAUGCAUUGGAUGAGUCAACACCUGGACAAAAAUUUGAUGAGGUUGUGAAUGAAGAGAAUGAUCCGUCGGCAGAUUGGGACCAACACUUGAAAAAGAAGCAACGCGAAACUGCUAGCGAGCUUGCCAGAUACUUAGAAGAAGACACAUUCAGUCGCACGGAUGAUUUCAACAUUCUUCAAUGGCGGCAUCUUCACUCAUCUAAGUUGAUGAGGACAUCAAUACCAUCGUUACACCCACAGCCCCUACUGUUACAUAUACUGGACCAAUUACUAGAGCUCGCGCACGCCAAUUAA
This 300-nucleotide ribosomal RNA is filed under the name Triticum aestivum (bread wheat). RNAcentral describes it as "partial small subunit ribosomal RNA". The record is from RNAcentral. Lineage: Eukaryota; Viridiplantae; Streptophyta; Magnoliopsida; Poales; Poaceae.